GACGAACGCUGGCGGCGUGCCUAAUACAUGCAAGUUGAGCGAUGAAGAUUGGUGCUUGCACCAAUUUGAAGAGCAGCGAACGGGUGAGUAACGCGUGGGGAAUCUGCCUUUGAGCGGGGGACAACAUUUGGAAACGAAUGCUAAUACCGCAUAACAACUUUAAACAUAAGUUUUAAGUUUGAAAGAUGCAAUUGCAUCACUCAAAGAUGAUCCCGCGUUGUAUUAGCUAGUUGGUGAGGUAAAGGCUCACCAAGGCGAUGAUACAUAGCCGACCUGAGAGGGUGAUCGGCCACAUUGGGACUGAGACACGGCCCAAACUCCUACGGGAGGCAGCAGUAAGGAAUCUUCGGCAAUGGACGAAAGUCUGACCGAGCAACGCCGCGUGAGUGAAGAAGGUUUUCGGAUCGUAAAACUCUGUUGGUAGAGAAGAACGUUGGUGAGAGUGGAAAGCUCAUCAAGUGACGGUAACUACCCAGAAAGGGACGGCUAACUACGUG
This 497-nucleotide ribosomal RNA is filed under the name uncultured bacterium. RNAcentral describes it as "partial 16S ribosomal RNA". It matches the Rfam family "Bacterial small subunit ribosomal RNA", at positions 28 to 507 of the family's 1533-position model. The record is from RNAcentral.